Long non-coding RNA from Heterocephalus glaber (naked mole-rat), 1435 nucleotides. Lineage: Eukaryota; Metazoa; Chordata; Mammalia; Rodentia; Bathyergidae. The record is from Ensembl.
GGGAGCUCCUUUUUAGGAGCAGCAUUUGAAUUUCUAAGUCUCGUUUUAACUAGAAUGAAGUUCUGGAUGCUGUGAACAGAGAGCAGACUCCUUAGGACAUUCAGAUAACCCUGUUGAAGCUGGACCGCUCAGCACCGCACGUGUUGUCAAUAGGCAUUGUGGUCCAGGCCCAUGCCUGCGACUUAGGCUCCAGAAGGCACCUGAGCACGAUAAGCAAAAGCAUCACCAGCUCAGACACUGGAGUCUCCUCCAGAGAUGGGAAGUUACCACGGGAGAAAGGAUCACAGCACUCAGGACACUGGGGUGAAAGCUGCCGAAACCCUCACCACUGCACUCGAGCUUGAUGCCUGACAGCUGCGCUAAUCUCGCUACGCUCCAAAGUGGAGAAAAGAAACGGAAGUUGCCUUACCUGACAACGGAGACAAGCAAGUGUUACGAACAGACUUGUGCCUUCCUCCCCCAAAUUCACCUGGGACCGGAUUCAGAGACUGGGUCCAUAAGCAGAGAGGAAAGGUCUCCUGUGGGCAUGUUGAGAAGUCACCAUCUUGAAGUCAAGAAGACAGACCUCACCUGAAAACAAUGAUACAGGCACCUUGCUCUUGGACUUCUGGCUCCAGAACUCUGAGGAAAUAAAUUUCUGUUGUUUAAGAUACCCACACUGUGACGUUUUGUUACGGCAGCCCUGUGUGAAUAAUAUACCAAGAUCACUGAGGCAUUUAACCUAAUAUAGCCAGAAUUCAUUGAAUCCAAUCUUUACUCAAGGAGGCUAGGUAUAUUUACAGUUAGGCCCUUUUUUCUGAAACGAACGAAAACAAAACUUUUAAAUUAACUGAAUAGGAAACACACAGGCAUAAUAAAAUGUUCAUGGGUUUACAUGGUGCCGUGGAUUGAAUUACAUCCCCAUGAAAUUCCCAUGUGGAAGCCUUAAUCCCCAAUGUGAUAGACUUUGGAGAUAAGGCUUUGGGAAGAUAAUCAAGUUUAGCUGUCAAGAAAGUAGAGACCUUGAGAUGGGGUUAAUGUUUUUACUGAGAAGAGUAGCUACGAAGCUGACUCUUGCUGUCUCGCUCCACCAUGUGGGGGCACCUGAGAAGGUGGACAUCUGAAAAUUAGAAAGACAGCCCUCGAAAGGAACCUGACCAUACUGGCACUCAGAUCUGACACUUCAGCCUCCAGAAUUUAGAGAAAAUAAUCUUUUAUUAAGACACCAAUCUGUGAUAUUCUGUUAUGGAGGCCCUAGCUGAGAUAUAAAAUUUGAGGAAGUUUUAAGCCUCUUUCUCUCACUUCAGACCCUCACUCCCGUAGUCCUUCUUUCCCAGAGGCAACCACUACAAAUUAUUACAAUUAAUAUACUAGAAUAUAGAUAGACAAGAAAUGGAUAGUGCUUUUUUUGUGAAUGAGAAUAUUCUACAUAUAUGGUCCUAAACUUUGCCUUUUU